UUGUUUUUCCUCUAGCUUGUACAAUUUCCCUUACUUUUGUUAAGUCCUACUCUUUCUACCUCAUAUUUUAGAUUUUCAGUCUUUUUUAUCUUCAAUACUCGUAGUAUUGAAUGAACUUAAAGGCUUUUUGGAGGACUGUAUUGUCAGCUGAAAGACUUCUAAGACUUCUGUGAAUUGCCAGGUUUCCUAUCAGAGACCUGCACCUGUACUGGGGAAUCACCUGCACUGAAAUUUUGUGUCCUAAUGGGAGCAAGGCUACCUUUCUCAUUACAGAGUUUUUACUUUUAAUUAGCUCCUUCCUCUUGCUGACACCUGCAGUAUUUGGCUCCUGGUUGGGAGGCUGGAGCACUCGAUGCCUUCCCGGUUCUUCCCUUGGUGAGCCAGUUGGAGAAGGAAGAACUAAACCACCUCUCGCAUCUGAAAAAGUAGCAUAGGAUAUCAUACGUGCAGAAAGGUGUCUGUGGGGAACCACAUUUUUUUCAUCAAUAUCUAUACGUGUAUUGCUCCUUUAACCAGAAGAAAUGUGAAGAGAGCAAAAUCAGACACUUACCUGAUUAAACUCUUCUGAUCCGAAGAACUGAAUAUCAACUUACUAAUGGUAAUAGGCUGCAAUUCGUAUGCAGCCUCCUCUCUGGGGAAAAAAAAAAAGAGAGAGAGAAAAGAAAGAAAAAGAGAGAAAAGAAGAG
Molecule: long non-coding RNA, 686 nt
Organism: Cygnus atratus (black swan)
Lineage: Eukaryota; Metazoa; Chordata; Aves; Anseriformes; Anatidae
Exons: 5
Source: RefSeq, a predicted model, not a curated record